AGCAGCUUGCUGCUUCGCUGACGAGUGGCGGACGGGUGAGUAAUGUCUGGGAAACUGCCUGAUGGAGGGGGAUAACUACUGGAAACGGUAGCUAAUACCGCAUAACGUCGCAAGACCAAAGAGGGGGACCUUCGGGCCUCUUGCCAUCGGAUGUGCCCAGAUGGGAUUAGCUAGUAGGUGGGGUAACGGCUCACCUAGGCGACGAUCCCUAGCUGGUCUGAGAGGAUGACCAGCCACACUGGAACUGAGACACGGUCCAGACUCCUACGGGAGGCAGCAGUGGGGAAUAUUGCACAAUGGGCGCAAGCCUGAUGCAGCCAUGCCGCGUGUAUGAAGAAGGCCUUCGGGUUGUAAAGUACUUUCAGCGGGGAGGAAGGCGAUAAGGUUAAUAACCUUGUCGAUUGACGUUACCCGCAGAAGAAGCACCGGCUAACUCCGUGCCAGCAGCCGCGGUAAUACGGAGGGUGCAAGCGUUAAUCGGAAUUACUGGGCGUAAAGCGCACGCAGGCGGUCUGUCAAGUCGGAUGUGAAAUCCCCGGGCUCAACCUGGGAACUGCAUUCGAAACUGGCAGGCUAGAGUCUUGUAAGGGGGGUAGAAUUCCAGGUGUAGCGGUGAAAUGCGUAGAGAUCUGGAGGAAUACCG
RNAcentral lists this ribosomal RNA (643 nucleotides) under uncultured bacterium. RNAcentral describes it as "bacterial SSU rRNA". It matches the Rfam family "Bacterial small subunit ribosomal RNA", at positions 74 to 711 of the family's 1533-position model. The record is from RNAcentral.